Molecule: non-coding RNA, 236 nt
Organism: Bemisia tabaci
Lineage: Eukaryota; Metazoa; Arthropoda; Insecta; Hemiptera; Aleyrodidae
Source: RefSeq, a predicted model, not a curated record
AUUUUCGGUCGGUUUCCGGUUUCCAUCAGGCCGUUAAUCGACCGGUGCUUGUAUGGAAAGCGUUGAUAGUCUGUUUUUAUACAUGUUAGAGGGUAAAGUGGGAAAAAAUAUCGAUAAUUGAAGAGUUCAUUAUCUACAUAUUUGGAUUAACGUGUGAAACAUCGUCCUUUAUUACCAAUUUUUGGCCUUUUUUGGCCUAUUUGAAUUUUUUUAGGCCCUUAACCGUCCGAUGGCAA